RNAcentral lists this ribosomal RNA (235 nucleotides) under uncultured bacterium. Its description in RNAcentral is "partial 16S ribosomal RNA". It matches the Rfam family "Bacterial small subunit ribosomal RNA", at positions 99 to 334 of the family's 1533-position model. The record is from RNAcentral.
CGAACGGGUGCGUAACACGUGAGAAAUCUGCCCCGGACUUUGGGAUAACAGUUGGAAACGACUGCUAAUACCGAAUACCGCCGUCACCUCGCAUGGGGAGACGACGAAAGGUCCGCCGGUCCGGGAGGAUCUCACGGCCUAUCAGCUUGUUGGAGAGGUAACGGCUCACCAAGGCAUCGACGGGUAGCUGGUCUGAGAGGAUGAUCAGCCACACUGGAACUGAGACACGGUCCAG